RNAcentral lists this ribosomal RNA (508 nucleotides) under uncultured bacterium. RNAcentral's name for it is "partial 16S ribosomal RNA". It matches the Rfam family "Bacterial small subunit ribosomal RNA", at positions 28 to 523 of the family's 1533-position model. The record is from RNAcentral.
GAUGAACGCUAGCUACAGGCUUAACACACGCAAGUCGAGGGGAAACGAUAUUGGAAGCUUGCUUCCGAUAGGCGUCGACCGGCGCACGGGUGAGUAACGCGUAUCCAACCUGCCCAUCACUUGGGGAUAACCUUGCGAAAGUAAGACUAAUACCCAAUGAUAUCUAUAGAAGACAUCUGAAGGAGAUUAAAGAUUUAUCGGUGAUGGAUGGGGAUGCGUCUGAUUAGCUUGUUGGCGGGGUAACGGCCCACCAAGGCGACGAUCAGUAGGGGUUCUGAGAGGAAGGUCCCCCACAUUGGAACUGAGACACGGUCCAAACUCCUACGGGAGGCAGCAGUGAGGAAUAUUGGUCAAUGGGCGAGAGCCUGAACCAGCCAAGUAGCGUGCAGGAUGACGGCCCUAUGGGUUGUAAACUGCUUUUAUAAGGGAAUAAAGUGAGUCUCGUGAGACUUUUUGCAUGUACCUUAUGAAUAAGGACCGGCUAAUUCCGUGCCAGCAGCCGCCGUAA